GAUCAAGAACGCAGCGAAAUGCGAUACUUGGUGUGAAUUGCAGAAUCCCGUGAACCAUCGAGUCUUUGAACGCAAGUUGCGCCCGAAGCCAUCAGGUUGAGGGCACGUCUGCCUGGGCGUCACAUAUCGUUGCCCAAUGCCUAUUGCAGUGCAAUAGGAAUUUCUAGGGCGAAUGAUGGCUUCCCGUGAGCGUUGUUGCCUCGCGGUUGGUUGAAAAUCGAGUCCUUGGUAGGGUGUGCCAUGGUAGAUGGUGGUCGAGUUAGAACGAUACCGAUCAUGUGCAUGCUCCCCAAAAUAUGGCCUCUAUGACCCACACGCGUCUUUUGACGCUCAUGACGAGACCUCAGGUCAGGCGGGGCUACCCGCUGAAUUUAAGCAUAUCAAUAAGCGGAGGA
RNAcentral lists this unclassified non-coding RNA (395 nucleotides) under soil metagenome. Its description in RNAcentral is "partial contains 5.8S ribosomal RNA, internal transcribed spacer 2, and large subunit ribosomal RNA". The stretch from base 1 to 122 matches the Rfam family "5.8S ribosomal RNA", at positions 35 to 154 of the family's 154-position model. The record is from RNAcentral.